RNAcentral lists this ribosomal RNA (500 nucleotides) under uncultured bacterium. RNAcentral describes it as "partial 16S ribosomal RNA". It matches the Rfam family "Bacterial small subunit ribosomal RNA", at positions 28 to 507 of the family's 1533-position model. The record is from RNAcentral.
GACGAACGCUGGCGGCGUGCCUAAUACAUGCAAGUCGUGCGGACCUUGUUGAAAGCUUGCUUUUAAAAGGUUAGCGGCGGACGGGUGAGUAACACGUGGGCAACCUGCCUGUAAGACUGGGAUAACGCCGGGAAACCGGGGCUAAUACCAGAUCGUUUUUUCCUCCGCAUGGAGGAAAAAGGAAAGGCGGCUUCGGCUGCCACUUACAGAUGGGCCCGCGGCGCAUUAGCUAGUUGGCGGGGUAAUGGCCCACCAAGGCAACGAUGCGUAGCCGACCUGAGAGGGGGAUCGGCCAAAUUGGGACUGAGACACGGCCCAAACUCCUACGGGAGGCAGCAGUAGGGAAUCUUCCGCAAUGGACGAAAGUCUGACGGAGCAACGCCGCGUGAGUGAAGAAGGCCUUCGGGUCGUAAAACUCUGUUGCCGGGGAAGAACAAGUGCCGUUCGAACAGGGCGGCGCCUUGACGGUACCCGGCCAGAAAGCCACGGCUAACUACGUG